Molecule: ribosomal RNA, 919 nt
Filed under: uncultured bacterium
Lineage: Bacteria
Description: bacterial SSU rRNA
Rfam family: Bacterial small subunit ribosomal RNA
Source: RNAcentral
AGAGUUUGAUCCUGGCUCAGGACGAACGCUGGCGGCGUGCUUAAUACAUGCAAGUCGAGCGAGGUUACUGCGACAGAUCCCUUUCGGGGUGAAGUUGCUUUAGCCUAGCGGCGGACGGGUGAGUAACGCGUGGGUAACCUACCCUAAAGUUCGGGAUAACAGCGGGAAACCGCUGCUAAUACCGGAUGCCUUUACCAUGUGGCAUCACAAGGUAAAGAAAGGUAACGCUUUAGGAUGGGCCCGCGUCCCAUUAGCUAGUUGGUGAGGUAACAGCUCACCAAGGCGACGAUGGGUAGCCGGCCUGAGAGGGUGGACGGCCACACUGGGACUGAGACACGGCCCAGACUCCUACGGGAGGCAGCAGUAGGGAAUAUUGCGCAAUGGACGGAAGUCUGACGCAGCGACGCCGCGUGAGCGAUGAAGGCCUUCGGGUCGUAAAGCUCUGUCCUUGGGGAAGAAGGUCUUCGGACUUGACGGUACCCAAGAAGAAAGCCCCGGCUAACUACGUGCCAGCAGCCGCGGUAAUACGUAGGGGGCGAGCGUUGUCCGGAAUUACUGGGCGUAAAGGGUGCGUAGGCGGCCCUUUAAGUCAGAUGUGAAAGCCCGCAGCUUAACUGCGGAAUUGCAUUUGAAACUGGAGGGCUUGAGUGUCGGAGAGGGUAGUGGAAUUCCCAGUGUAGCGGUGAAAUGCGUAGAUAUUGGGAGGAACACCAGUGGCGAAGGCGACUGCCUGGACGAUAACUGACGCUGAGGCACGAAAGCUAGGGGAGCAAACAGGAUUAGAUACCCUGGUAGUCCUAGCCGUAAACGAUGGGUACUAGGUGUAGGUGGUUUCGAUACCAUCUGUGCCGUAGUUAACGCAUUAAGUACCCCGCCUGGGGAGUACGUGCGCAAGCAUGAAACUCAAAUGAAUUGACGG